This 254-nucleotide ribosomal RNA is filed under the name uncultured bacterium. Its description in RNAcentral is "partial 16S ribosomal RNA". It matches the Rfam family "Bacterial small subunit ribosomal RNA", at positions 524 to 776 of the family's 1533-position model. The record is from RNAcentral.
UACAGAGGGGGCGAGCGUUGUUCGGAAUUACUGGGCGUAAAGGGCGCGUAGGCGGCCCGCUAAGUCGAACGUGAAAUCCCCAGGCUCAACCUGGGAACUGCGUCCGAUACUGGCAGGCUUGAAUCCGGGAGAGGGAUGUGGAAUUCCAGGUGUAGCGGUGAAAUGCGUAGAUAUCUGGAGGAACACCGGUGGCGAAGGCGGCAUCCUGGACCGGUAUUGACGCUGAGGCGCGAAAAGCUAGGGGAGCAAACGGG